This 1434-nucleotide long non-coding RNA is filed under the name Anas platyrhynchos platyrhynchos (common mallard). RNAcentral's name for it is "lncRNA (ENSAPLG00000026548.1)". The record is from RNAcentral. Lineage: Eukaryota; Metazoa; Chordata; Aves; Anseriformes; Anatidae.
AUGUUCUUGGUAUACGAAGAGCAUGAGAGAGCUUCGCCUUUGGUUUUUCACUCUGCUCUGGCUAGUGCAGCUGUAAACAUUGACUCAUUUUUCCCACCUCCUCAAGCUGGAGACAGAGAAAAGAAAGUGCCCUUAAAUGUUUUCACUAUUUCUUCUAGAAAAACAAAACAGGGAUUUGUGUACAAUGCAGGUACUGCUGAGGGACAGGAGGAAAAAGGCACUGGAAGAAUGAUGCCACUGGGUGAAAGUACUGGAAUUAAACAUUUGCCCAGCCAGAGCACUCAUAACCACUUCAGGAGUCACUUUAGAAGGGAACCUCUGUAUCACCACUGGCCUUUCAAAGUGGAAAUCCCUUCGGCAGGAGAUGUCUUCUGCUGUGUCUCUGGCAUAGCCCUGCAGAAGUCCUGCCUGAGGCACACAGGUAAAAGCUGAAAGAUGCUGAAAUAGGAUUUAGAUGUCAGAGUGCAACUUAGCUUAUAACCACACUGUACUAGCAUCACACAGUGCACACAGACAAAGCAAUUUCUCACAUCCUUGCUCGGGAAUACCAAAAUCUUAUGUUGCACUUCAGCACCGUGAUGGAUAAUGAUGACUGUCCACAUAGAUAACCCAUGUGGAGAUGAGGUCUUUUUCUCUCUCCCAAGGGGUCUGCAGCCCACAGUCUGUUGUAGGCUGGUUCCUGGGGAAAGUACAGUAUCUUACUACAAAGCAUGAUAGCAUCAUGCCAUGUGAGUGCUUGGGAGGGCACCCCCAUAGGGCACCACCGUGCUGAAUCCCCGUGGGCAUUUCUCAGUAACGUUAUACUCUGUCAACCUGUCACUGAAACCAUUUUUAUGUAUUUUACAUCUGCCAGCUGGGUAUCAGGUAUCUGUACCCUUCUCUGGUGGCUCUGUGUCAACAUCCCCAGGCUGAUCUGCCCAGGAACUUCUGCCUCCUCGAGCACAACCGAUCACUUUACCACCUAAAAACCACCCUCCCGUGUGCUCUCACGACACUUUCAGUGUUGCACCAGCCAGGGAAGCAUUAUCAGAUAAAAGCCUGGGCUGAGUAUGAAGCAGCAACAGCCCUAAACCCCCUCCAGCUCAGCCUGCAGCUCGGGCUGAUCUGGUCCCAGGGGAUGUGAGUGUGUGGUGGACCUUGGUGGGCCCUUCAAGUUGGCAUUAGACUUCUCAGUGAAGUGCAGUAGGUUUUUUGUUGUUGUUGUUGUUGUUUUGUUUUGUUUUUUUUUUUCCACAUCCCAAGUGAUGCCCUUCCUGGUCUGGUUUGGGUCCGGUCAUUUCUGAAGCCACCCGAAAGUUGCCUGCAGACAGGAGGUGACCAAAGCCACCCACCUCCUCCACCAUCCUCCAGGGAACUGCUGCGAAGGUCAGACAGUCUGUGGGGUGGCCCACUGGCAUUUUAGAGAAAAUAAACCCCAGAAACCUAAAAUUUCCA